AAACAGCCAUGCAUGUACAUGCAUGUGUCUGAUUCCCUACAUAAACUGUCACAAAACGAUAAUCACUCUGACUGCAAGCAAUACACUCAGAUAAUUUCUAGUUCGAGAUUCUUUCUUUUUUUUUUUUUAAUGUUUAUUUAUUUUUGAGAGAGAGAGACAGAGUGAGAGCGGGGGAGGGGCAGAG
Herpailurus yagouaroundi (jaguarundi) is the source of this 184-nucleotide long non-coding RNA. RefSeq lists it as uncharacterized. The transcript has 3 exons. The record is from RefSeq and is a predicted model, not a curated record. NCBI's taxonomy places the organism in Eukaryota, Metazoa, Chordata, Mammalia, Carnivora, Felidae.